Molecule: long non-coding RNA, 1571 nt
Organism: Sitophilus oryzae (rice weevil)
Lineage: Eukaryota; Metazoa; Arthropoda; Insecta; Coleoptera; Curculionidae
Exons: 4
Source: RefSeq, a predicted model, not a curated record
AUAUUAGAUGUAAAUAAUUAUUUACAUAAUUUAAAACGUCCUAACCUAAACAUAUUUAAUACAUUAUCACUGAACUACAAAAAAGAGAUUUUACUCCAAUCAAAAUGAAAUCUUUAUUUAAAGAAAAUUUAAGUAUCAUAAAACAUAAAGUACGUUGUAUGGCUGAAUCACCAUCGGUUUUGAACAAUGGUCACAGGGAAUUAGACGCAAGUCCCUUUGAGCCGUCAGUAGCUUUAACAGCUUCUGAGAGAUUGAUCUUAAAAGAAAUAAAAAAGUUGAAUUGGGAAAUACAGGAUAUGAAAAAAACAGUAAACAAGAUUCAGGACCUGUUGCUCACAAUUAGCAUGAUUAAUAUUAAGUUCUAGUGAAGAACCUUUUCAACUACCAAUUGAGAACCAGGCUUUACUAGAAUCUAUAGAGCAGCAUUUAGAAGAUGAAAAAAAUAUUGAACUUUUGGCUCAACGAUUAUACCUUUGUGGAGGGGACAAUACCCACAAAUCUGUUUUUUUAUUAAUGAAAAAACUGUUUGCCAGAGAUGUAGCAAUGCUCUAUUCUGGAUCAGGAAAGAAGGGAAAAUUAUCAUUUCAGAAGUUGUCAUAAGCUGUUCGUUUUCCAGGCGCCACGGAUGCAGGUAUUAACAAAUCCAUAUCUUUGUAUUUGACAGGAGCAGCAGACAGGGAAGGAAGACGUAAAAACAGAAAUGCCCAAUAUAUACAGUUAUUUUGAAACAGAAAAAUAUUUUUCGUUUUUUUAUUUAUUAUCAGGAUAACAGCUUAUUUUUCAUUAUUUUAUUUUAUAUAGCAAUAUAUUAUGUUUUUAUUGAUGUAACGUUUUAUUGAAUCUUUCCCUAAUAUUUACUUCCCGAAUCUAUACAACAUAUUGGUUACAAAGAAGUGCAGAUUUUUUUUAUAUUUCUUUUAUUUUUAAAACAUAUUAUAUAAUAUAUAUCAUUCUCAUUCGAAAAUAAUGGUCCACUGUAUAUAUAAAACAUACAAUAACUUGCAUAAAAUGCAUUGACUUUUCGAACUAUCUUGAUAUUUUGUAGUAGUUUAGGCUUUCGCGGCCAUCGUUUGAAGAAUUUUGGUUUUUCGGGUUAUUAGGCCGUCGUCGGUUAGAAUUGCUUCCUAACGUUUCGCUAGCACGAGUGGCUAGCAUCUUCAGAGGUGUGUUUGCUCCGAUUGCUCACACUAGACUGAUGCCUCCGCGUCGGCGUAGCGCGUAUUUAUGCGUCGGCGGAGGGGGCGUGGCUUGUUCGGGUGGUAGUUCUUCCGGAACUGGUCUACUUCUCUGUGCUGCUACUUUGGUCCUAGAUAUAGCUGGAUGCCAAAUUCUGUUAAGGUAGAAAGUUUCUUCCUUCCUGUUGAAAUUAUUUGGAUGUUUGUGAAUUUCAACAGCUUCCCUGACCAGACGAGGAUGAUAUCCAGAUGUUGUGGCAAUGACUUGGGUGUCUUCGAAUUGGAUUUUGUGGUCACCAUCUCUUAGAGCAUGUUCUGCUACGGCUGACUUCUCUGUUUGCCCUAAUCUGCAGUUUCUCUUGUGUUCCGUAAGUCUCGUUCCUACUGAGCGUUUGG